GGUAAGAUGGCUGAGAUCUAAGCGGUGGAUUGUAGCCCCAUACACAGAGGUUUAAGUCCUCUUCUUAUCA
This 70-nucleotide transfer RNA is filed under the name Macropodus hongkongensis. RNAcentral describes it as "tRNA-Tyr". It matches the Rfam family "tRNA". Rfam says of the family: Transfer RNA (tRNA) molecules are approximately 80 nucleotides in length. The record is from RNAcentral. Lineage: Eukaryota; Metazoa; Chordata; Actinopteri; Anabantiformes; Osphronemidae.